RNAcentral lists this ribosomal RNA (440 nucleotides) under uncultured bacterium. RNAcentral describes it as "partial 16S ribosomal RNA". It matches the Rfam family "Bacterial small subunit ribosomal RNA", at positions 338 to 795 of the family's 1533-position model. The record is from RNAcentral.
CCUACGGGCGGCAGCAGUGGGGAAUAUUGCACAAUGGGGGAAACCCUGAUGCAGCGACGCCGCGUGAGUGAAGACGUAACUCGUUAUGUAAAGCUCUAUCAGCAGGGAAGAAAAUGACGGUACCUGAGCAAGAAGCCCCGGCUAACUACGUGCCAGCAGCCGCGGUAAUACGUAGGGGGCAAGCGUUAUCCGGAUUUACUGGGUGUAAAGGGAGCGUAGACGGGAGUGCAAGUCUGGAGUGAAAGGCGGGGGCUCAACCCCCGGACGGCUGUUGAAACUGGACGGCUGGAGUGCAGGAGAGGUACGUGGAAUGCGUAGUGUAGCGGUGAAAUGCGUAGAUAUUAGGAAGAACACCAGUGGCGAAGGCGGCUUACUGGACUGUGACUGACGUUGAGGCUCGAAAGCGUGGGGAGCGAACAGGAUUAGAUACCCGGGUAGUC